UUGUUGUUGUUGCUAUUUCUUGGGCCGCUCCCGCGGCAUAUGGAGGUUCCCAGGCCAGGGGUUGAAUCGGAGCUGUAGCCGCCAGCCUAUGCCAGAGCCUCAGCAACGCAGGAUCCGAGCCGCGUCUGCAGCCUACACCGCCGCUCACAGCAUCACCAGAUCGUUAACCCACUGAGCAAGGGCAGGGACCGAACCCGCAACCUCAUGGUUCCUAGUCGGAUUCGUUAACCACUGCGCCACGACGGGAACUCCUGCAUUCUCUUCUCCACACACCAGUUUCCAGGAUGAUGCUCUGCCUCGUAAUGUCCCCGGGCCAUGAGCCGGUCAGUGUCACCAGGAUGGCAAAGACGUUUGUACAUGUGAUGUGUCUUCACUCCGCCAGCAGUCAUUUCUUCGUGUGGCUGGAAUGGCCUUGCCUUUGGCCACUAGGAGCCCCUCAGGCUGCCUCCUGAGCCGUCCUCACACAAACCUCACUUCCAAAACCAAGGGGGUGCCUCGAGUGCUGUUCCUGCCCAGACCGUGCAUCUCAAAGGAGUCCCGCGCCUCGGAUGGGAGUGCUGUUUAGAACCCCUGUCCACGAGCUCCUGAUGUGCUGCAACGAGAUCGGCAGCAGCUGAGGAGUGCUAGGAUGCGGGUUUGAUCCCUGGCCUGGCAGAGAGGAUCUGGCGCUCCUGCAGCUUCCUUCGAGGCCGCGGCUCAGGUCUGAUCCCUGGCCCACGAGCUCCACAUGCCGAGGGGCGGCCAAAAAAAAAAAAAACCCCAAAAACCUCACUGUCCAAGCACUAGGGGUGCAAACUGCUACAGGGAUGCCAUGCAAAUAACUUUAAUCAAUGUUAUUUAAAAAUGCAAAAAUUAAGCUGAUAGCAACUUCUACUUUUAUUUAUUUAUUUUUUUUGUCAUUGUCCUUUUUAGAGCCGCAGCCGCAGCAUAUGGAGGUUCCCAGGCUAGGGGUCUAAUCGGAGCUGUAGCUGCCGGCCUACACCACAGCCACAGCAACGUGGGAUCCGAGCCAUGUCUGCGACCUACACCACAGCUCCUGGUAACACCAGAUCCUAAACCCACUGAGCGAGGUCAGGGAUCGAACCUGCAAUCUCAUGGUUCCUAGUUGGAUUCGUUUCCACUGUGCCACGACAGGAACUCCGACUUCUACUUUUAAUAUAAACAUGAAUGUUGUUAAAUUCAGGUAGGAAAAUAAUCCUGCUCAAUAUGGAAGUGAUAUUCAAGGAAAAAAGUAGACACUCACCUGUUAUAAUACAUGUGCUUCUGAAAAUUUUUACUCAGAAAUUCCUUGUAAAACUCAGCCAUUUCUUCUGCAUUCAAUGUUGCUUUUGCACCUGAAAAUUAAUUUCAACUUAAGCAAUAAGAAUUAAAGGGAAGGAUUUUACAAAAAUUAAAGCUAAUAAAUGUGUUCGCAGUUGCAGGAUAGAAUCGACAUCAACUGUGUCUACACACUUACGCUAGACAAUCCGAAAAGGAAAUUGAGACAACAAUUCCAUUUACAACAGUAUCGAAAAGGAUGAAAAACUUAGAAAUAAAUUUAAGGGGGGCAUAUAAGACUAAUACACUGAAAACUGUAAGAUGUGGUUGAAAGAAGUGACGGACCCAAGUAAACAGAAAGACAUCUCAUAUUCACGGCUCCAGAGUCCUAGUACUGUUAAGAGGGCAACACUCCCCAGUUUAUUUAUUUAUUUAUUUUGCUUUUUAGGGCCGCACCCGAGGCAUAUGGAGGCUCCCCAGCUAGGAGUUGAAUCGGAGCUGUAGCUACUGACCUACACCACAGCUCAUGGCAACGCCGGAUCCUUAACCCACUGAGUGAGGCCAGGGAUCGAACCUGCAACCUCAAGGAUGAGAUUUGUUAACUUCUGAGCCACAACAGGAACUCUAACACUCCCCAUUUUAAAAUGACACACAGAUUCAACACAAACCCUAUCGAAACCCCAGGUGGCUUUCUUUUCCCCCGAGAAACUGACAAGAGGAUCUUAAAAUUCAGAUGAAGACGCAAGGAAAGAGGGUAGCCAAACAAUCUUGAAAAGGAUCACAGUUGGAGGACUCCAAUCUCUCAUGUUCAAAACUCACUACAAAGCUGCUGUAAUCAGUUUGGUGUGGUGUCAGCAGAAGGACAGGCAUAGAGAUCAACAGAACGGAACUUAAGCGUCCAGAAAUAAACCCAGACACUUAUGGGCAAGGAGAUCCCAUUGUGGCUCAGCAGUAACGAUAAUGAACCCAACUAGUAACCUGAUGUCGAAGGUUCGAUCCCUGGCCUCGCUCAGUGGGUUAAGGAUCCAGCAUCGCCAUGAGCUAUGGUGUAGGUCACAGACGCGGCUCGGAUCCUGCAUUGCUGUGGCUGUGGUGUAGACCAGCAGCUGCAUUCUGAUUAGACUCCUAGCCUGGGAACCUCCAUAUGCUGUGGGGGCAGCCCUAAAAAGAAAAAAAAAAGGUGGUCUGCCCAUAUAAUGGAAUCGUAUUCGGCCAUGGACAAGAAUCUUCAUGGUACUAUUCAUGCUGCAAGAGGGAUGAAGCUCGAAAACACACACGCGUAUUUAUCACAAUGUUGUAAAUCAACAACACUUCAAUACAACUUAAAAAGAAAAAAAAGGCACGCACGUAAGAUUACAAAUCACAGGCAGACUUUGGAGUUAUUAAGGGUUCGAUUCUGACCACUACAAUGAAGCAAAUAUCACAGUAAAGUGAGUCACCUGAGUGGCUGAUUCCCAAUGUAGGUAAGAUGUAUUACACGAUAGGCUGAGUGUGCAACAGCAUCAUGUCAAAAAACCCACAUUUACCUUAAUUACACAAUCACGCUACUGGAAAAAUAGGGCCAACAGACCUCCUCUAUACGGGGUUACCACAAACAUUUGUUUUUUUAAAAGAAUCUUCCAAACACAACAGAAUAAAGCUCCAGAGAAUGAGGCGUGCCUGUGUACGAUGCCGUUGACCUGGAAAUGCCCAGAAGAGGCAAAUCCAUAAAGACAGAGAGUAGACCAGUGGCUGGGGGGCGAUGAAACCGUUCUGGACCAGGUGGUGGUGACGGCAGCACAAUCUCGUGGACACUAAAACCACUGAAGACUUGUACACUUUAAAAGUCUGAAUUUUAUGGGAAGUGAAUGACAUCUCAGUAAAGAAAAGACAAGGGAGGAAGCAUCUCCCCGUCCCUAGCCCCUAAUGGUUACGCUGUCGCUGAUAUGCACUCGGGGCACCUAUCACCCUGGGCUGGGUUUCCCCACUCGAGGGCCAAGGCUCUCUGAGUGUCCAAGGAGGGACUGUGAGCUACCAGCGCAAGGGAAACAGAGUGUCUCCUAAGCCGAAUGCACCCUGCGCUGGCCAGCAGCCCAGGCACCCCGGCUCCAAGGCGGGGAGCACAUGCCAAGCCGGUAACACACCCGGUGCCUGUCACCUCCACGGUAGGAGACGUCAACGUGGCCUGCUCUCAGGGCUCCCCUGCCCCCAGACUCUCACAGGACAGGAACCACGGCCUGCCAGGCAGUACGGCUUCUGUGCCGUGCAGGAUGGCACAGCGGGGUAGGGCCAGUCUCAGGACACCUGCAGUGGCUGGGGGUCAAAGGACUGAGACCACAUGGGAAGGGGCGCCCUGGCUUAGAAGCCCUAACCCCCAAACAGGCAUCGCACCCAGGGUUCCUGCACUUCUGGGGCACCCCCAGGCAGAGGCCCCCCGCUCCAGUCCCCCGGGGUUUAGUCCCUUCGCCCCUGACAGAAGCUGUCUCCAGGCCGAGGCCAUGUUCCUGGCUGUAGAGCUGAUGCUGAUGCUGACGCUUCAACCCGAUCAGGAUUUGGGGGAGACGGAGACGGAGGUGGAAAGAGAAUCCCAGGACACAACUUGAGGGCCAGCCCUGCACUCACACAACAGAGGCGAACACUCAGAGCACAAGCAGGGCUGCCCUGGCAGAGACACAAGGCAAGGACCGCAUGCCUGCCGGGCCGCCCCCUGCCUCCAUGAUCAGCAGUUCACUCCCUGUGUCCAGGCUCCGCUGCCCCGGCCUCCGGCUGCUCUUCAAAAUCUCCGUUUAGAAGAUUCCUUCCCACCCUCGGAAAGGCCGUCUCUGACCCCGCUCCUCCCCGCAGCCCUGCUUCUGUCUGUCCGCAGGCAACGCGCCCGAGCGCAGAGUGCGUUUACUGAGCUGGCCGCUCCCGCCCAUGGGAGGCGGUCCCAGCUCCGCCAAGGCCAAGGCCACGCUGUCUCGCCCUCCGCUCCUCUCGGCGGCCAGCUGGCGAGGUGACAGGUGUCUGAUAAAUACCUGGAAUUAACCAACGGACGGCUGCUAAAUGGAGCAGCAGGGGGAACAACCAGCUGCCUGAGGACGGGAGGGAAGCCAAAGGCUCCCAGAGAAGGUGACCGCCAAGCUGGGUUUUGAAGGAUGAAGAGGAUCCCAGAGGGCAGACGAAAUGAAGGGUCUGGAGAGGCAGAGAGAUGCCGGAGCACAGAGAGCGGGGCGGGGCAGGCGGGGUGCGGAAGGGCUCCGGCUUUGGGCAGCAGAGCGAGCGCUGGGCCGGCGCGCCAGCCCCCGAGCAAGGAGCUGGUCCGCCAGGCCUCCAGGCAGGUGUGCCGCUCCCCGGCCUCUCCCGCCACGGAGCAGUUAUGGAGGCGCACAUGUCCUCCUGGUACGAGGACAGGUUCUGUCCCUCACUGGCCCUGCGGCCGUGGCUCUGCUCACCUCCAGGACGUGGAUCAGCAGAGCACGUCUCAUAAAGCUGCUGUGAGUCAAACUGAGUUGCAGUCCAUGUGGCGGCGGGUGGGACAGGGCUGGGCGCAGAGGGCGCUCAGGUUCCCACCGCUGGCAGAACAGCAGGAGCCCCAGGCCCUGAAGGACAGGCUGGGGCGCCACCUUCGGCUACUGGCGGAGAUUGGGGUCGCGCCCAAACAUUCCCAGGUGACGACGCUCAACGUAAAGCAGAAGCACCAGACACGGUUGCUGAGAACUUCAGAUGCCACACCCACAACGCUGCAACGUGACACCGACCUUCAGUAAAACUAAAUAAUGAAAGACAAGUGGAGAACAAUCUAAUUCAUCACACACUUACGGAAAGCUGGGCAGGCGUUUCAUAAAUACCAGCUGACUUAAAAGAAACCCAGCCUGAUGCCAUCCCCGCCCCCAUACAAAUGCUUCAGCAAUGAAAGAAAUUAGAGGCAAGAAUUCUCCCACAGGGAGUUCCUAUUGUGGCGCAGCAGAAACAAAUCUGAUUAGCAUCCAUGAGGACGCAGGUUUGAGCCCUGGCAGCGCUCAGUGGGUUAAGGAUUGGUGUUGCCGUGAGCUGUGGGCACAGGUCGCAGAUGCAGAUCUGGUGUUGCUGUGGCUGUGGUGUAGGCGGCAGCUGCAGCUCUGAUGGGACCCCUAGCCCGAGAAUUUGCAUAUGCCACGGGUGCGGCCCUAAAAAGACACACACACACAAAAGAAUUCUCCCACAGCACGGCUUGCCCUACCAAGGAGACUGAAUCUGGGACAGGCAGAGCUGAAGUCACGGUAUCCGGCUCUCUGCACUGGAACUGAAUCCACGGUUUUCCUGUACGGCUGCAGAGGGUCCCAGUGAACACCCAGGGUGCGUGGGCCGCCGGCCUCACCCAGUCUUCAUCGCCGGAUGUUUAGAUGCUUCCCCCUCUUGCGAUGAAGACAGUGCUGCCACGGACCCAAAGUCAGGUCUGCCCAUGCUUUCCUCUAGGCAGACUUCUCAGAUAGUCCGUAGUCGUAAUGUCUCUACUUCUGGGCAGGUGAGCUUCAUGCAGCUAAACCCUCCGGAAAGGGAGCGAGGAAGACACCUUCCUGAGCUCAGAAAGCAUCAAAUGAUACCUGGUUGCUGGGGGUUUCUUUUUCGCUCGCCCUUUGGUAUAUGGAAGUGCUGGGUUAGGGACGGAAUUCAAGCCACAGCUGCAGCAACGCCAGAUCCUCAGUACACUGAGCGAGGCCAGGGGUUGAACCUGCACCACCAGAGAGAUACCACCAGACCCCCAACCCACGGCGCCACAGUGGGAACUGCUCUGGUCGCUGUUUUAACACGGACUGUAAAAUUUAGAGUGUGAGCAACUGUAGGUGUCUUGUUACUUCUACAGACCUGUCAAGGCUUUUCAUUGCGUCCACACUGCCUUCUCAGCUCUGCCGCAAACGCCCCCAACCUGCCGUUCGUGUUUAGGGUGCUUCCCGGCCUUCUUGUCUGCCCAGCCCUAUUUGCUGGGCACAGUUUGCGGAGCCUUCAACACAACCCCCACGCCCAGGCCUCUGCCCAACCUGGGCACCGCUGCGCUGGCUGGAGCCGCCUGGGAAGAGUCUCAGGCUGGCGCCUUCCGCAACGCGGGAGGUGUAAACGGAGGUGGAGAAAGCCCGCUUAGAGCAGAGGGUUCGUGACAAGGGCGUGUCUGGGUGCCCUUUGGGGCCAGGGUCAGCGUGCAGGGCAGGCCUGGGCCCAGUUCUACGCUGGCCCUGGGUCUGAGCCGCCUCGUGUCCCUUCAGCAAACUCUCCUUUCCAGAAGCACAGACUAGCGGGUCCUGACCAGUUGAGGGUCAGUUUUCAUGUUCUUGAAUCCUUCCACCUUCACUGUCAAGCUGAGGACUCGCCACUCCUCCAGAUAUCGGAGGGUCACUCUUAUUCCGUUAGGCUUGCUACGACUAGGAGCGAUGUAUUGAACGUAUUA
RNAcentral lists this long non-coding RNA (6640 nucleotides) under Sus scrofa (pig). Its description in RNAcentral is "lncRNA (ENSSSCG00055024278.1)". Lineage: Eukaryota; Metazoa; Chordata; Mammalia; Artiodactyla; Suidae. The record is from RNAcentral.